Molecule: unclassified non-coding RNA, 6654 nt
Filed under: Daphnia magna
Lineage: Eukaryota; Metazoa; Arthropoda; Branchiopoda; Diplostraca; Daphniidae
Description: muscle M-line assembly protein unc-89-like, transcript variant X1
Source: RNAcentral
AUUGCGGAAGAUGAUGAAGAUCGGGCCAAUCUGGAAGUGGAAGUGUCUCAGAUGAAUCGCAAAUGGAGCAGUUUCCACCGGGAAGUCGGGGAAACACGUCAACAAAUUAAUCUUUCCAUAGAUUACUUCACUCUAGUCGAAGAAGUGGAGCAAUCCUUCCGGUCAGGUAGUCAGAUGUUGGUUACAGUUGCUCGUAAAUCGACACAAGUCAAGACGCCGGAAGAGGCGACCACGUUAUUGAAAGAAGUUGACGGAUUCAUAAAACCUCAAGAAGCUCAACUGGAACGCAAGAUAACCAAGAUUUCACAGAUGGCCAUCCAACUUUACGGUCACGAGAGUUCUGAUCGCAUCCAGCCAGUGCUUCAAGAAAACCGUAACAUGUUGGACUCUUUCUCGGUUAUGAAUGCAGAACUGACAACAUUGGCUACGAAUCUGAAAGCCGCUGAAGAUCGUUUCAAACAAGCAGAAACGCAAGCGGCUGUGCAGGAAUCGCUGGAUGCAGCCAGGGCGGAAGCGGCUUCAGCUCGAGCUGCAGCCUCUGCUGCCGAAGAAGCUCGUAAGGCGGCUGAAGCGGCCGCGUUGGCUAUGAAGGAAACCCAAUCACCUCCGCCACGUCCACCUCUUCCAGCCAGUAUACCUGAAUUGCCCAGGCCGUCAGCUGCCGCCCUCUCCUCCGGCAGGGCUCCUACGCCCCCGAAACGAGCCAAACCAGUUGAAAUGCCUAUCGACGAACCUAUUUUUACCACUUUGCUUCAAGAUGCUACGGUUGAGGAGAGUAAAGCUGUUCAACUGACGUGCAGGGUGACGGGCCAACCAACCCCAUCUAUUUUGUGGCUGAAAGACGGAAUGGCCAUCGCCAAUAAUCCCGACUAUCAAACGAAAUUUGACGAACGAGAUGGCACCUGUUGUCUGACUAUCGACGAAACGUUCGCCGACGAUUCAGCUCGUUUUACCUGCCAAGCCAGUAAUGUAGCCGGAAUCGCUGAAACCACUGCUUUUCUUCGAGUUCAAGAAUGCGCGGAGGAUGUCUUACUACCACCGGAAUUCGUCGAGUCUUUGAUUGAUUCGACGGCCAGAGAAGGCCAGCCUCAUCAGCUCUCUUGCCGUGUCGUAGGCAUUCCCGUCCCGCUGAUUUCGUGGUACAAGAACGGCAUCUGCGUGGACUACUGUCGUGAUUACAACAUCUCCUUCAACGACGGCCUGUGCACGUUAAGUUUUUCGCAAGUCUUUGUCGAAGACGGUGCCAUGUUCGAAUGUAGGGCCGCAAACGAGGCAGGUGACGCUGACACGGCAGCCCAUCUCACCGUCGAACCUUUGGAACCAACGGAGGUACCUGCUUUCAAACCAGGUUUGAGUAGCAACGUUAUGGCUCGCACUGGCCAAAAAGUCCGUCUCGAAUGCGUCAUAUCUGCCGGACUGCCCAAACCUUCAGUGCUAUGGUUGCACAACAACAAACCGGUCAAGGAAACCCGAGACAUCAAAACUUUGGUGGAAGGUAACAGACAUUUGCUGACUAUCACCGAGGCGUUUCCCAAAGAUGCUGGGACGUAUACGGUCGUGGCGAGAAAUCCAGCGGGCGAAGCCAUCACGACAUGCAAUUUAGCUGUCAAGGGUCGGGUUCCGACAGAAACUUCGGAUUCGGAACUUGCGUCAGACAUGGAACCUAUCAAACCAGGUAUCCAGCAAAGCUUACCAGCCAAAAUGAACGUCCGCGAAGGCGACAAAGUUAGAAUGGAUUGCGUCAUUGUGGCUCAACCCGAACCUGAGGUAAUCUGGUAUCAUAAAGAUCGACCUGUCAAAGAAUCCAGCGAUUUCCAGCUCAUUUUUCAAGGCGAUCGUUGCUCUUUAAUUAUCCGCGAAGCUUUUCAAGAAGAUGCCGGACUCUAUAGAGUUGUGGCCGUCAAUUCAGCUGGCGAAGCAUCCAGCCAAUGUCACCUAACCGUAUCUCCGAUAGAAGAGAAACUACACGAUGAAGGGACUAAUUCAUCAGUGACUUUAGCCUCCUUGACAGCGCAACCAGAUCCCACGACGGAACCGCCCGUUUUCAAAAAGACUUUUGGCAAUGUAGCAGUAGACGAAGGCGGGCCAUUGAUCUUAGAUUGCACCAUUACCGGGCGACCCACGCCUCACGUCCAAUGGCAUUUUAAUGAUCAACCCAUCACCGCGUCUGGUUUCGGAUUUAAAACCACUAAAAUAGGGGAAAACCAGUAUCGCUUGUCCGUCGAUAUGGCCCGUCCGGAACACGGUGGUCGCUACAAAUGCGUAGCGGAAAGCCAAUCGGGAGUAGCUACUUGUGUGGCAGAUGCCACCGUCCAGCCGAGAAAACAAGACGACUCUUUUGUGAACCGGAGGGCCGUUUUUAGCCAAUCCAGCACCGUUGUCAGUAGCCAAGAGAGCAGCUAUCGUUCCGUGACUCGACAAGUCCAGCAAUCGAUCACGCAAGUGACGGGUCAGGCUGCCCAACAGAUGGCGACUGAGCGUACGGAAGUUAUCGAGAAAGAGGGAGAUGAUGAGCCGGUGUUGUCUGUUAAACAAAGGGCGAGUCUUUUCGCUGGAACAGAAGCGGCCACGCCCAAAGCCAAUCCUGUCCAGGUGGUAAAGAAAACUCAGCGCAAAGAUGUGGCUCCCAGAUUCGUAACAGCUUUGACUGGCGUCAUGGUGGAGCCGGGGGCCAAUAUCCAGCUGGAGGGCAUAUUGGAUGGUCAUCCUAUUCCGGAUGUCAAGUGGUACAAAAAUGGCGUUGAACUUGUCCCGCCGGAAGAGCAAGAUCGAUUAGAUGUUUCAUCCGGAGGGCAGAAAGUCCGUUUGUCCAUUAAACAAAUGGAAGAAUCCGAUGCUGGGAGGUACACCUGCACGGCUAGGAAUUCCGCCGGAACCGCUAGUAGCACGGCCGAUGUGGUCGUUCGUCGCACCCAGUUUCCGCCCGUGUUUGGCAGACGAUUGCAGGCGCAGACGGUACGUUCUGGCUCUCGAGUUACGAUGGAAGUCGAAGUGACUGGAACUCCUCCGCCGGAAGUCUCUUGGAGCAGAGACGAUCGUUUGUUGAGCUCCAACAAUGAUGGACGCAUAUCCACUAAAGUGGAAGGCACUCGCCACUGGAUCGUCAUUUCUAAAGUGUCCGAGCUGGAUGCUGGACGCUACACUGUCAGGGCUAUGAAUCGAGCCGGAGAAGCUAUUAGCACGGCGGAAUUGUUCGUGUCGGCUGCCCUAGUCGUUGAAGAGCCUUCCAGCCGGAAACAUCCACCACUCAAAGUGGAUGUGACUGCCAAACCUGCUGAUUUGCUUCCAGAACCGCCACCGGAAGUGCUUUACGCGCCUAAAUCUGAGACGCCUAAAAGCUCUUCUUCCGGAACUCGGGUGGAUUUUGCGGAAAAAACCCGUUUGCUGGAAGAGGCCAGCAAAAUAGUCAGCCCGACCGAAGUUCCAGGUCGUAUUCGACUUUUACCCAUGCCGUCCGACUCUGAAUCUUCUCCGCCGAGAAUAAUCCGCCCAACCCCGCCUCCGGAAUUGCCUCCUCGUCAGCCCAGCGUUGAAUUGUCGAAAUUCGAACCUUUUCCGCAAUUGGAACCGUUUCCUUUCAAACCCGAUCCGCCACGGCCGGAAAAGAAGAAACCGGCUGCUGUUCCAGCCGUGCGGAAGCCUGGGAAAUUCGUUCGCGGCGAAUCGCGUGAAAGCGAUUACGAAAGCGAUCUGGAAGGUGCGCGGAUUACACCCAGAUGGGUCCCGCCCGGAAGCGAUACAGACGACACGGCGAGCUAUAAGAAAGUCAAGCCAAAAUUAGCAUCGGAUGGUGAACGUACGAGCCGGGCUGUUUCCAAAGAACCGACUCCGCCCACCCAGUUUGAAGUUCCAGCUGAAAUGGAGGGUCCACCGCGGCCAAAAGUUCUUCCUCUAGAGCCGGAAGUUGUCCCACCCAAGCAAGAAGAGCAGCAGUCGCAGCUCAUUGCCGCGCCCGGCACCCAAACUUGGCCCAGAAUAAAAUCGCCAAAACCGCCAUCCGCCGAAGGCUUGGCCAUGGAGAAAUCGUGGGUUCCAAAACGAGUGGAAAGCGAUUCCAAGACUUUGCCGAGGUUGUCGGUCAGCCCAGUGGGUCAUCUGAAACCGUCGCCAAAAGCUCUCGAAAUGGAAAAACAAUGGAGUCAUCGAUUUACUAGUCACAAUUCCAAAAUCUGGCCGCCACCACCGUCUGAGCAAGAGCCCCCGUCCAUCCCGAUUUGGACGGGACACUCGUCAACGCAGCAGACCAGCACCGUGAUUGAACGCACGGACCAACGAUUUGAAAGUGUCACCAAGAAAAGCAUUUUGAAAACUGCAACGACGGGUCCCACGGUUAUCGAUCAACCGUCACGACAUGUCACAAUCCAAGGCGAAGACGAAGUCGUUUUUGCGAAGGUUGCGUCCGUCAUCCCGUCAGAGCCGACGGCCCUGAAGUCGCAGUCUCCACAGACCAGCAAAAAGUUUGAGCCUUUCCCUCAACUGGAACCUUUUCCUUUCGAGGCGAAUCCUCCUGGUCCAGCAGUCGAUGCCAAGAAAUGUGGAGCACCGCCCGUCCGCAAACCGGGCAAAUUCGUUCAAGGGCAAUUUAUGGAGAGUGACUACGAGAGCCAUCUGGACAGCUCUCGCAUUCCAUCCAGAUGGCUGCCUGCGGGUAGCGAUACCGAAGAGACAUCCAGCUUCAAGAAAAUUCAACUGCCCAAGUUGUCGACUGACAAACCUGCCGAGCGGAAGCAAGGAAAGUGUCCGUCACCUCCGUCCAAGUACGACGUCAAUCCUCCGCAGUAUGUCGGACCUCCGCGACCGGAAUUUAAGAAGCCUUCGCCUCCAGUUCAGACGGAGUUUAAACUGCCUACCCCACUUAAUCAGCCCGAGUCUAAACUGCCUACUCAGCCGGAAGGGUCUCCCAGAAAGCCGUCCAUUACGGGAACGGAGACUGUCCAGCGAAUGCAGAUGGAAGAGUCGACUCGUUUCAGUAAACGAUUUGUCACAGUUGAGCAGACGACUAGAACUGUCCAAUUGCACCCGGCUGAUGUGGUUAGACCAGCGCCAGCUGUUGUUCCAGCGGUUAUUAAGCGUCCGGUAGAACAGCCUCUGGAACCUUUUCCUUUCGUGCCCGAUCCACCUCAACCGAGAAAAGCCUAUUCUCCGUUGUCGGUCGUUAAGCCCAGCAAGUUCAUUCCGGCUGGAUGCUCUAGAGAAAGCGAUUACGAAAGCGAUUAUGAUGGUGCAAAAAUCAGGCCUAGAUGGACGCCGGCCGGCAGCGAUGCAGAGUACGAACCUGCCUACCGUAAGGUCCAGCCGCCAUCGUCUGCCGCAAGUGCCAAUAAGAAACCGACUACUGGAGCACGAACGCCUACACCACCGUCUGUAUUCGAUCAGCCGCCCAGUUUUCAAGGCCCGCCUCGCCCAGUCAUUAGCCCGACAGAUGUGAUUAAAAUCAAAUCGGCACUUGACAAGUCUGAGGAGAGGCCCGUCGUACUAGUCAAACCGAAAGCCAUUCGUCUGCCAGCUCCGCCAAUAACCGCCCAGACGGGUAAGGUUUUGCAGCCGGCCGAAGAACCCGUUUAUUGCUAUGCCGAGCCACCACCCACUGCUGCUGCCGCUCAGGAGAAGGCGGCUUCGCAUUUCGUCCAGAUGUCUGACGCUUUCCGAACGAAAGCCCAGCAUUUCGCCCAGCAAGUCAUUUCGGACGUCAAAGCGACCAGCGUUAUUCCUCCUGAGGUGACAGCAGCCGAACAGCCGGUAGAAGCUAAUCCCACUGUCGAACAACAGCCAGCAGUUGAAACGACGGGCAAUGAGCCACAAGCCUAUCACGAAGAAAGUCGGCAGUCAGAGUUCGGUACGAAGCACAUCGAUCCAGACACGGGUCUAAUCUAUUUCAAGUACGAUUUCGGUUACGAAUUCGGUCUUGUGCUGCCCGGUGAGCCGCAAAAAGUAGACAAGAUUGAAACAAGCAUUGGCAAGGAAGGAACUAUUGAGCUUCCCGUUUUACACGAGCAAACAGUCACACCAACACCGCCAGCAAACAACCCUUCUUCUACACCAACCGUUGCAACUGGGGAGAUUCAAAAGCAGCCUGCUAAGAAAGAGAUGCCAAACUUUAAACCAAAGAAAUUUACGCAAUACAAAGCUGCUAAGUGGGAGCCCACUGACAGUGAGUUAUCUGAUCAGGAGAGUGGGAAAGUACCUUCGUGUUACUACGACGAAAGGAAACAGACCUACAGUAAAUUCCAGCCUCCAGAACGUAGUCUCAGCCCACAAUCCCUGGCAUCCAGUUCCCCUCGAGAUAGCAUUUCUGGACCUCAAAAGCUGCCAGAAUAGAACAGUGACCCAUCUUUUAAUGGUUGGAGGAGAAAUGAGAAAAUAACUUGCAAGCCAGAUUUCAGGAUCUUCUUAUAACUAACGAAAUUAUUUAUGUUUUACGCAAAACACCCUUUGUUCUUUUGCUGUUGCUGCUGCUGCAAAACUGGUUGAUAUUAUCUUUCUGUCCCGACAUUGUUUAUCGACACGAACAGAACUCUUUGGAAUUUGGAUGUUUACUUGGAAACUAAAUUUCCCCUCCCUCUUAUUUCAACUUGGUUGUUUAUUUUGGCUUUGGAUCGACAUCUAGUGGGCUCUGAUAGAACUAUAAACAUCAAAUACAUCUUCACCUGAUAA